GUGAAUCAUCAAAUUUUUGAACGCAAAUUGCACUCUCUGGUAUUCCGUAGAGCAUGCCUGUUUGAGGGUCAGUUUAAAUAAAAAUCGGUGUGGUUGCUGCCUUUCGUGGUGACGCACCGGGUUUGGGUCGUCUUGCCUUCGGUUAAGUGACCUAACAUCUUGCACGAUUUUUUUAGAAAGGAUUACACUGAUUUUACGUACGUUUGCGAUAA
This 212-nucleotide unclassified non-coding RNA is filed under the name Glomus sp. RNAcentral's name for it is "partial contains 5.8S ribosomal RNA and internal transcribed spacer 2". The stretch from base 1 to 71 matches the Rfam family "5.8S ribosomal RNA", at positions 84 to 154 of the family's 154-position model. The record is from RNAcentral. Lineage: Eukaryota; Fungi; Glomeromycota; Glomeromycetes; Glomerales; Glomeraceae.